UACAGAGGUCCCAAGCGUUGUUCGGAUUCAUUGGGCGUAAAGAGUGUGUAGGCGGUGCUCCAAGUCUGGUGUGAAAUCUCCCGGCUUAACUGGGAGGGUGCAUUAGAAACUGGAAUGCUAGAGGAUGGGAGAGGUAAGCGGAAUUCCUGGUGUAGCGGUGAAAUGCGUAGAUAUCAGGAGGAACACCUGUGGUGUAGACAGCUUACUGGACCAUUUCUGACGCUGAGACACGAAAGCGUGGGUAGCAAACAGG
This 253-nucleotide ribosomal RNA is filed under the name uncultured bacterium. RNAcentral's name for it is "partial 16S ribosomal RNA". It matches the Rfam family "Bacterial small subunit ribosomal RNA", at positions 524 to 776 of the family's 1533-position model. The record is from RNAcentral.